AUGCUCAAUGAGCGCACCUCAUGGACAAUCACGGGCGUCUAUGGCCCGCAGGGCGAGCAAGACAAGUUGGCCUUCAUUGAGGAGCUUAGGACUCUCAAGACCGUGGCCAGAAGCGAGUGGCUCCUCCUGGGGGAUUUCAACCUCAUCACUAAAGCGGUGGAUAAGAGCAACGCCAACAUCAAUGUACGCCUUGUGGGAAAGUUCCAUGGGGCUCUUGAUUUCUUGCAGCUAAAGGAGCUUCACCUAGGCGGGCGCCGUUUCACCUGGUCAAAUGCGCAGGCCAACCCGGUCCUUACCAAGAUUGACCACGUGUUCCACUCCGACGAUUGGGACAUGCUCUUCCCCAAUGCGCACCUUCAGGCCAUCACCACAGCUUGCUCGGAUCAUGCUCCGUUAUAUCUUCAGGGGUGCGUCGACAACUCAAGAAAGCCUUCCUUUAAAUUCGAGGAAUUCUGGCUUCGUCUCCCGGGCUUCAAUGACACCGUUUCCUUGGCUUGGAGCAAACCUGUCCAGGCCCGGGAUGCCAUCCGCAAGAUUCAUAUCAAGCUCUGUCGGACUGUGAAGGCCCUGCGCAAGUGGCAAAAGGAAAAAAGUCGGGAUGCUCGACUCCCAGAUCGCGGUGGCCAAGGAGAUCAUCUGACGCCUGGAUGUUGCUGA
RNAcentral lists this ribosomal RNA (657 nucleotides) under Triticum aestivum (bread wheat). Its description in RNAcentral is "partial small subunit ribosomal RNA". The record is from RNAcentral. Lineage: Eukaryota; Viridiplantae; Streptophyta; Magnoliopsida; Poales; Poaceae.